GUGCUUGCUUUGGCAGCACAUAUGCUAAAAUUUGAACGAUACAGGGAAGAUUAGCAUGGUCCCUGUGCAAGGAUGACAUGCAAAUUUGUGAAGUGUUCCAUAUUUUU
RNAcentral lists this small nuclear RNA (107 nucleotides) under Chinchilla lanigera (long-tailed chinchilla). The record is from RNAcentral. Lineage: Eukaryota; Metazoa; Chordata; Mammalia; Rodentia; Chinchillidae.